GUUUCUUAGAUGAGGUAGGAAAUGAGUGGGAUGUUACUGGAAAAGAAAAAGAGUCCAAGAAGUUAUUCCAGAGCAAGAACAGGUUCCUGUCUGGCAGCUCUAUUUGAUUGUAUAUUUGUGGCUUGGGAUGGAAACAGGGAGCAAACCAGAAGAGCUGGGAGACGACUGGAAAAUGCAAACAUACAGCUUCAUGACUGCAACUAUUUAAUGAAUGAAAGAGAUAAAGUAGCCGGAAAAUCCCAGGUCUUGGACCAGGAAAUGUGAAAUGAACCAGCAAAGAUGCUUCAGCAGGCCUGAAGAGACUGGGAACACCAGAUGAAAGAGAACAGGUACCUGUAAAGAGCAGUGAUACAGUCAGAGGAAACAAUAAAAAUGAGGUCUUGCUCUGUUGCCCAGACUGGAGUGCAGCAGCAUGAUUAUGAUUUACUGCAGCCUUGAAAUCCCAGGCUCACGGGAUCCUCCCAUCUCAGCCUCUCGGUAACUGGAACUACAGACUAGAAGCUCUGUAAGAGCAAGGAUGUUGGGUAUUUUUGCUCACGUUUCCCAGUGCUUUAACAGAAUGCCUGGCAUGAGUAAGUCCUCCAUAAACAUCUGUGGAAUAAAUCAGUAGUAGAGAUUAAGAAAUGGCCUCAAAGAAGGACACAGACAAACAUGGUCCUGGUUCUAGAGGAAGCUAAAUGUGUUCACUUUUCCUGUGAGCUUUACACAGGAGUUUCUGCAACAUAAAAGAGAUCACAAGGCCAGUACCGAUGAAGCCCUUGAUCCUGUGCUUGUUACCUGGGAAAGACUGACAGUAAUACCUUAAAAAUCAUUGUCUCUGUGACUUAGGAGAAACAGGACAAAUUAUCCUAGCAUGAAAUAUAGCCCAAGAAUAUUGUGGGAAUAACGCAGAUUGAUUUUUUUUCUCUUUUCUGAAUUCACAUCUGUAUCCCUCUUUCAGAUAUUUAUUGACUGCUCAGUUCAGUCCCUUUUCAUAUAGAGAAUGAGGGUAUAUUUCAUUUGUUCAAAACUACAAAAAUAAUCAUACCUCUUAUCUUUCAAAUAAAAAUCAACUUUGCUCUCAACAUGUUUGAUGUCUGGAACAUAUCAAUUAAUAUCUUCACUUCAGAGAUUCAUUACAUAAAAUGUUGGAAUCUAUGCUAUAGCAUUACCAUAAAGAGUUGGAUUAAAUAGGAAAAUGAACAGAUACACCAAAAGGAAAGUGGGCAAGACAUAAACGUCAGAGGUGUUUGAACUGGAGCAACUGCAUCUUCAACAGGAGCCGGGUAAAAUAAGGCUGAGACCUUCUGGGCUGCAUUCCCAGACUUAGAAUUCCUAAAACAUUCUAAGUCACAGGGUGAGAGAGG
Molecule: long non-coding RNA, 1346 nt
Filed under: Homo sapiens (human)
Lineage: Eukaryota; Metazoa; Chordata; Mammalia; Primates; Hominidae
Description: HSALNT0064344
Source: RNAcentral